UUUGGUAACUUAAUAUAUUUAAGAAUUUAAAAAGCUGGGAAUAUGAACAAUCAUAUAUCUUAAUAGAACAAAAUGAAAAGUCAUUUUAAAAUAUGAAAGAUUAUUUUCGAGUCUGUAUAAAGGAUUAUACUCAUACUCAUUUUGGAUGAAAUGAUAUAGUAAAUGCUAUUUAUUUUAUCUCAAGAAAAUUGAUCGCAUCUGCCAAUAACGAUUAAUCAUAUUUGACUGGUUCUUCUUUAGUUUGAAUUUGAUACUUUAUUUGUUUACUUAGAUUUUCUACCGUAUAGUUUAUUUUAAAUUACGUGGAAUUCGAUUCUUCCAAUUUGAGAUUUUUUUUUUAAUUUCUAUAUUUUUUAAUAUUUGUUUUCAAUAUUUUGGUUACUAUGUUAUAAAUUUUUAUGUUUUUUUUAUUUACAAAUCAUAUUGUCUCUAUUGUAUAAUAAUUUGAUUGUGUUGAAAAUUUUGAUAGAUUUGUUUAUAUUAGGGUUUAGAAUUUUUGAAAUAAUUAAUUAUUACGCAGCCGAACGUCAUACUUAGCGCAAUCUAAUGGAUAUGUUAGAAUUUGUUUACUAAAUAUAUUUUCUAUUAUUUCUGAUUAAACCUAUACGUCACUACCUCUAUAAUAAAACAUCAAAAUAAAUUUGUCAGUAAUAAAUGUGAUUUGACACCUAUCGUAAUACUUUAUUAUUAAAAAUUGAAAUGUUUUUAAAUUUUUUUUUUAUGCUUUUCAAUAUACUUUAAAAUUACUAAAACUUUUAAAAUAAAUGUAUUCUACUCUCUACAAAAUAACUUACAGAAAUAUAAAGAUUUAAAAUUUAGGAUUUAAAUUUUAAAAAAAUAUAUCUAUCCGUCGCAUCGCGCGGGUCACUACACUUGUACUUAAUUAAUAGACUAAAAGUUAUAGGUAUCGUCCGGUUCUCUUCCGUUCUAAAUGCAGUAUCUAGAGUUAAUAUCAUUAUCCUUUUGCAAAUUCAUGCAUGUGCAUUUAUAACAUGAAAACAAUAUUAUCUCCAAAUAAACACUCCAAACAGAUGCAUAGUCAUAAUGUAACUUAAUCGUACUAUGUUGAAUAUAUAGUCCUUAAUUGAGUGUUCAUGCUAACUCCCUUUACAUACGAAACAAUCAUUUUUCAACUCAUCGUAUAUAUUCGAGACUUUUUCGGUAAGCCUAUGACGUGGAUUUAGAUUAAAUGAGCGAAAAUUACUCAGAACUUCUGCUCUAAUAUCAUGUUACAUAAUACGAAACAAUAAUUAUUAUCUAAAAAGUUAAACUGAUCAUAGAGACAGGUGUUUAAAUAUUUUUAUAUUUAACAGAGAUUAUUUUAUCCUACACAUGCUUUAUAUAUAUAUAUAUAUAUAUAUAUAUAUAUACUAGUUGAGUGUACGCGCAAAUCCACGUAACAAUUAUUUUAAUUUAUUUUAAAUCAGUAAAAAUUUAUAAAUCAUAUUUAUUCAAAAAUUUAGAAUAAAAUAUUUUAUAAAUUUAUAUAUUAUAUUUUAUUACAAAAAUCUAUAAUAUCAAUUUUAAAUUUUAAUAUAAAAUAGAUUGAUAGAUUUGAUAUCCAAAAUCAAAAACUUAAAUUUAAAUUUUAAUGUAAAAUAGAUGGAUAGAGCAUAUUGAUAUUCUGGCAAAAAUUUAAAUAAAUAUGAAUUUAUUUAUAUUUUAGAGAUAAAAAAAUUAAACAAAUUUUGAAUUAAAAUAUAGAUUUACAAUAGACAUCUUUCGAUUGGCCAAAUUUGAAUAAGUAUAUAUUUUUUUAUUUUAGAGGUAAAGAUAAAUUAAAAGUUUGUUUUAUUAUGUUAUUUAUUUUAUGUAAGAAAAGAGGAAUCAAAAUUUUUUUUUCCCUAAAAAUAGGUCUGCCGACAUAUCAAAAUUUGAAAUACGUGUUAGAUAAUAUAGAUAUUAUAUUACAGUUAGAGAUAAAAAAGAAUUAAAUAAAAAUUCAUAGUAGAUAUUCUCAGAUUGGUAAAAAUUUAGAUAAGCAUAAAUAAAUACGUGCGAGAUAGUAUAGAUAUUGUAUUACAGUUAGAGAUAAAAAAGAAUUAAAUAAAAAUUCAUAGUAGAUAUUCUCAGAUUGGCAAAAAUUUGGAUAAGCAUAAAUUUUUUUUCUGUUGUAGAAAUAAAGAGAAAAUAAAAGUUUGUUUAAUUCUAUUACUUAUUUUACGUAAGGAAAGAGGAAUCGAUUUUUUUUCCCGCUAAAAAAUGGGUCUGUCAACAGACCGAAAUUUGAAAUACGUGCUUAUAUAUAUACUAGUAAAAUGUACGUGCAAAUGCACGUAAUAAUUAUUAGAAAAAGUUAUAAUUUUUUUAAAUUAUUUUUUAAUUUUAGGCCAUAUUUUAUAUGAUUGCCAAAUAUGUAUCUAAAAAAUUUAAAAUAAUAAAUCACGCUAUUAAGAAAGAUAUGCUUUAAAUGAUAAAUAAUUAACAAUA
This 2430-nucleotide long non-coding RNA is filed under the name Ananas comosus (pineapple). RNAcentral's name for it is "long non-coding RNA (ACOM_LNC007783)". Lineage: Eukaryota; Viridiplantae; Streptophyta; Magnoliopsida; Poales; Bromeliaceae. The record is from RNAcentral.